UACUAGAAUAUUAAAAGUUAUGGCCUUUAAAUUUAAAAAAUUUGGCGGUGUUUUAGUCUAGUUAGAGGAACCUGUUUUAUAAACGAUACAACACGCAUUAUUUUACUUAUUUUAGUGGAGCAGUUUGUAUACCGUCAUUAUAAGAUAAUUUAGGAGAAAAUAUUAUUGGAAUCAUAUUUGUGAAUAUAUUAGAUCAAGGUGCAGCUUAUAGAUAAGUAAAUAUGGGUUACAAUAAAAUUAAUUUAAUAUGAAUUAAGUAUUUAAAUAUAUUUAUGAAGGAGGAUUUAAUUGUAAGGGAAGGAGUAGUGAGAUUUUCUGAUAAAAGCUCUAAAUUAUGUACAUAUCGCCCGUCGCUC
RNAcentral lists this ribosomal RNA (356 nucleotides) under Cambarellus sp. Pop26_1. RNAcentral describes it as "partial 12S ribosomal RNA". Lineage: Eukaryota; Metazoa; Arthropoda; Malacostraca; Decapoda; Cambaridae. The record is from RNAcentral.